AGUGAACGCUGGCGGUAGGCCUAACACAUGCAAGUCGAACGGCAGCACAGUAAGAGCUUGCUCUUACGGGUGGCGAGUGGCGGACGGGUGAGGAAUACAUCGGAAUCUACUUUUUCGUGGGGGAUAACGUAGGGAAACUUACGCUAAUACCGCAUACGACCUACGGGUGAAAGCAGGGGAUCUUCGGACCUUGCGCGAUUGAAUGAGCCGAUGUCGGAUUAGCUAGUUGGCGGGGUAAAGGCCCACCAAGGCGACGAUCCGUAGCUGGUCUGAGAGGAUGAUCAGCCACACUGGAGCUGAGACACGGUCCAGACUCCUGCGGGAGGGAGCAGUGGGGAAUAUUGGGCAAUGGGCGCGAGCCUGAUCCAGCCAGACCGCGUGGGUGAAGAAGGCCUUCGGGUUGUAAAGCCCUUUUGUUGGGAAAGAAAAGCAGCAGGUUAAUACCCCGCUGUUCUGACGGUACCCAAAGAAUAAGCACCGGCUAACUUCGUG
Molecule: ribosomal RNA, 492 nt
Filed under: uncultured bacterium
Lineage: Bacteria
Description: partial 16S ribosomal RNA
Rfam family: Bacterial small subunit ribosomal RNA
Source: RNAcentral